This 76-nucleotide transfer RNA is filed under the name Amycolatopsis sp. A1MSW2902. RNAcentral describes it as "tRNA-Ala". It matches the Rfam family "tRNA". Rfam says of the family: Transfer RNA (tRNA) molecules are approximately 80 nucleotides in length. Their secondary structure includes four short double-helical elements and three loops (D, anti-codon, and T loops). Lineage: Bacteria; Bacillati; Actinomycetota; Actinomycetes; Pseudonocardiales; Pseudonocardiaceae. The record is from RNAcentral.
GGGCCUGUAGCUCAAUUGGUAGAGCACCGCCUUUGCAAGGCGGGGGUCAGGGGUUCGAUUCCCCUCAGGUCCACCC